Molecule: ribosomal RNA, 220 nt
Filed under: uncultured bacterium
Lineage: Bacteria
Description: partial 16S ribosomal RNA
Rfam family: Bacterial small subunit ribosomal RNA
Source: RNAcentral
UAAUGUAUGGGGAUCUGCCCGAUAGAGGGGGAUAACUACUGGAAACGGUGGCUAAUACCGCAUAAUGUCUACGGACCAAAGCAGGGGCUCUUCGGACCUUGCACUAUCGGAUGAACCCAUAUGGGAUUAGCUAGUAGGUGGGGUAAAGGCUCACCUAGGCGACGAUCUCUGGCUGGUCUGAGAGGAUGAUCAGCCACACUGGGACUGAGACACGGCCCAG